Molecule: ribosomal RNA, 478 nt
Filed under: uncultured bacterium
Lineage: Bacteria
Description: partial 16S ribosomal RNA
Rfam family: Bacterial small subunit ribosomal RNA
Source: RNAcentral
GAUGAACGCUGGCGGCGUGCUUAACACAUGCAAGUCGAACGGGAAACCUUUUAUUGAAGCUUCGGCAGAUUUAGCUGGUUUCUAGUGGCGGACGGGUGAGUAACGCGUGGGUAACCUGCCUUAUACAGGGGGAUAACAACCAGAAAUGGUUGCUAAUACCGCAUAAGCGCACAGGACCGCAUGGUCCGGUGUGAAAAACUCCGGUGGUAUAAGAUGGACCCGCGUUGGAUUAGCUAGUUGGCAGGGUAACGGCCUACCAAGGCGACGAUCCAUAGCCGGCCUGAGAGGGUGAACGGCCACAGUGGGACUGAGACACGGCCCAGACUCCUACGGGAGGCAGCAGUGGGGAAUAUUGCACAAUGGGGGAAACCCUGAUGCAGCGACGCCGCGUGAAGGAAGAAGUAUCUCGGUAUGUAAACUUCUAUCAGCAGGGAAGAUAGUGACGGUACCUGACUAAGAAGCCCCGGCUAACUACGCG